This 84-nucleotide transfer RNA is filed under the name Arthrobacter ginkgonis. RNAcentral describes it as "tRNA-Leu". It matches the Rfam family "tRNA". From Rfam's summary of the family: Transfer RNA (tRNA) molecules are approximately 80 nucleotides in length. The record is from RNAcentral. Lineage: Bacteria; Bacillati; Actinomycetota; Actinomycetes; Micrococcales; Micrococcaceae. RNAcentral also lists the same sequence under 1 other name.
GCGAGCGUGGCGAAAUUGGCAGACGCGCUGGAUUUAGGUUCCAGUGUCUUCGGACGUGGGGGUUCAAGUCCCCCCGCUCGCACC